GUCCUAGCUGCCUCUCUGCUGCUCCUCUACUGUUCUGAAGAUCACAAUUUUGACCAGAUCCUUUCAAGUCCCAGCCCAGCAUGGCCCCUCCAGGUCACCUCCUGUUCCUGUUCCUGCUCCCAGUGGCCGCAAGUCAGACAAACGAAGGUUCCUGCUCCGGAUGUGGGCCUCUGUCCCUGCCACUCCUGGCAGGCCUGGUGGCUGCAGAUGCGGUCAUGUCACUUCUAAUAGUGGGGGUGGUGUUUGUAUGUAUGCGCCUACACAGCAGGCCUGCCCAAGAUGGUCGAGUCUACAUCAACAUGCCUGGGAGAGGCUGACAGCUGCACCUUCCACUUUUGUCUUCCAACCAUCCUCGAUCGCAUGAGGGUGGGGUAGGGAGCGUGGGAAUGCAUUUUCUUCCGGACUAGAAUAAAGCAUUCAAAUACCUCUAG
This 431-nucleotide long non-coding RNA is filed under the name Rattus norvegicus (Norway rat). RNAcentral's name for it is "long non-coding RNA NONRATT002504". Lineage: Eukaryota; Metazoa; Chordata; Mammalia; Rodentia; Muridae. The record is from RNAcentral.